Molecule: long non-coding RNA, 282 nt
Filed under: Coturnix japonica (Japanese quail)
Lineage: Eukaryota; Metazoa; Chordata; Aves; Galliformes; Phasianidae
Description: lncRNA (ENSCJPG00005021018.1)
Source: RNAcentral
AGUAAAUAGAGAUGAAAAUAAUACUGAAUGAAGCUCAUUGAUUUGGUGUUUGUGUUUUGUUUUCUAGAGUUUCUAAGGCCCUUUGGAAAUCAAGUAGAAGCCAAACUAAGGCUGUGUUGUUCCUCAAAGUAUAGCAUGGGAUCUCCUAAGGAGGCACCACAGAAGUCUCAAUCGAGUUCUUGAGGAAAUCAAUGGGAGUUUGAUUGGAGCCAUAGAAAGCCAUGAAGGGAAUUUCAAGAGAUAAAAGUCUGGAGCCAGACAUUCAAAAAUAGCUUUUUAAGU